Molecule: long non-coding RNA, 1185 nt
Organism: Gambusia affinis (western mosquitofish)
Lineage: Eukaryota; Metazoa; Chordata; Actinopteri; Cyprinodontiformes; Poeciliidae
Exons: 8
Source: RefSeq, a predicted model, not a curated record
AAUAAAGCAGAUGUUGAGUUUCUCUAAUAAAUUACACCUGGACUCUGAAAACACGGAUAUAAAGGUUUAAUAAAAACACAAGAUAUGUAUUAAGUUUUAUUGUUAAAGGAGCAAUGAAGAAAUAUUGUAGUAAAGAAAUAUAUGGUUUGAUUUGAAAGGUUAAGUUUUAAUGUAGGUGUUAAAACUGCAGCUGCAGUAGCGUCAAGGUCCAGUUCUCCCAGUGCAGUAGUCCAAUCAGCCACUAGAGGGCGCAGGACGACUCUCGCUCCUCACGUUUCUUCUUCAGCUGAUUUUCUUUCUUGGGUUGAUAAACAGGAAGUGUGAGGAUGGCAUCUUCACCUUCAUCGUCCUCCUCUUCCUCAGCUGCAGCAUCAGUGAUCCUAGUGGUCCAGUUCAUCUCCUGCUGAUGAUUCCAGUUCUUCUGGGUUUCUGCUGCUCAGCUUCAUUGACAGCUUCAGCUUUUCUGACUGGACUAACAGAUGAUUGAUUGGAAACAGAGAUGGUGGAGCAGAUCCUGCAGGGGGCGCUCUGGGGCCUCAGUGUUCAGGCCAAUCAAACUGCAGCUCGUUCUACAAAGGAGCUGUGUUUGGGGCGGGCCUCCUCUUUAGCACAAUCCAAGAUGGCCGCUGCAGAGGACACACCCGCAAGCCCCUGCGUGUACGUGGAGGUGGGCAGCGGCUCCGGACCGGUUCGUGGUUUUCUGUGGUCGGACCUUCAGCUCUACCUAUUGUUUGUCUGAUGAUGUUUGCUGUCAGGUUGGAUGAUCAGCUCAGCCUGCUGUAACCGGGUCGCCCCGUCAUCACAGACCUGCUAACAAGAAAUUUGAGAGGCUUUGUGGAUGUCAUCACUCCAUCAGAAGAGCCGUUUGCAUCAAUGUUGAGGUUGCUGAAAGUUUCUUCUCUGUGGUUGCUGCUCUCCAGAAGAGGCCACUUUGUCAAGAACAAGGCAGGAGAUCAUGGGCUGGAAGAAGAGACUGUUUCCAUAGAAACCAGCAGAGGUAAGAGCUCAUAAUUGACUUUACUGUUUUUAUUGUUUGUCUUUAUCUCAGACAGGCUCACUUCUCCUUCCAACAAGUUGCAGAGCAGAAUAUAUUGUGAAAGACAGAUUAACUUCUCUCUCCAGCCAGUGCAGCUUCCUGAUGGCAUCACCUCUUCAUGUUGUUUCAUUAAAGACAAAUCAAAGUGU